ACUACUAAAUCACGCCUCAUUGCUUCGCGCUUCUCUCUCGCAAUAUUACUGUUCAUCUUCUUGCUUCUCUGCUACGUUUCUCAAGCAAACUUCAACAAAUCUUUAUUUCGUUCGUAAUGGCUGUUUCACAAUCCCAAUUUGGUGACUCUUUCAGUUUCGAAGACUUCCAGAAACUCCUCACUCGGCCAUAUAUAACUCCGAACUUCCUUGCACCAGCCAAUGCCGAACUCAACGAGUUCUAACUAGGUCCUUCAUUCAACAACGCCGAGGCCGUCGAACAAGUGGCGGUGGGCCAGCUGUUCCCUUGUACUCAAGGCCCUCCGUUUCUAAACUCUUAGCCGCUGAGGCCACUUCGCAAAAGAGGUAUUCGCACUUGGCCUAAAUCUGAUGUUGUUUUCCGUAGAUGACAUACUCGCCUUGUGGACCAUGGUCCUACCAAGGCAAUUUUUGAUAGUGUUAGGAUUUUUGAUUUACUAGAAAUCUCUCUUCAACCCCCUACUUUUGAUCCAGCGCUUUUCCCUAUUACUUUAAGUUUUUGGUCUUCUGAGUAUAAUACUUUUGUUUUCCCCUUGGUCCCAUGUCCAUUACUUUAAGGGAUGUCGGGGCCUUAGUAAAUCUGCCACCUUUGGGCGAUACCAUUUUCCUGGUAUUUUGAUUUCUGGUGUCGCC
This 669-nucleotide long non-coding RNA is filed under the name Olea europaea (common olive). RNAcentral's name for it is "long non-coding RNA (OEUR_LNC006614)". Lineage: Eukaryota; Viridiplantae; Streptophyta; Magnoliopsida; Lamiales; Oleaceae. The record is from RNAcentral.